UUUCACCACUUUGUGUGUCCAAGGACCACCUACUUUUUACAUGUGACAAGAACUACCCACCUCCACUCUUCAGGAUAGAACAUGCUGAAGAAAAGAGUUGCAAUGAGAAAAUAUAUGGGAACAAAAUACCUGUGCAAUGCAGAGGUCUGCAUAACUGAACCACUCAGAGGAAAAAAUUUCCCUCCCAGGCUGGAGUACAAUGGCGCGACCUCGGCUCACUGCAACUUCCAUCUCCCAGGUUCAAGCAAUUCUCCCACCUCAGCCUCCUUACUAGCUGGGAUUACAAGCGCCUGACACCAGGCCCAGCUAUUUUUGUAUUUUUAGUAGAGACGGGGUUUCACCAUUUUGACUAGGCUGGUCUCAAACUCCUGACCUCAGUCCAUCGGUCCACCUCGGCCUCCCAAAGUGCUGGGAUUGCAGGCAUGAGCCACCGCUCCUGGCCUCAAGUUUAAUUCUUAAGUGCUCUUCUUCACUCUCUGGCUUGCUCACUUUCUGGGAAGACAUUUGUCAUACUGUGAGAUACCCUAUGAAAAGUCUAAAAUUGCAAGAAGUGAGAGGCUCCAGACAACAGCCAGGUAGAAACUGAGGCUGUUCAUCCAACAUCUUUGAGGACCUAAAUAUUGCCACGAACCAAAUAAAUGAACUUGACAUUCCACCCUCCCCAGGUUGUCCUUCAGAUAAAACUCCAGCCCUGG
This 695-nucleotide long non-coding RNA is filed under the name Pan troglodytes (chimpanzee). RNAcentral's name for it is "lincRNA". Lineage: Eukaryota; Metazoa; Chordata; Mammalia; Primates; Hominidae. The record is from RNAcentral.